This 73-nucleotide transfer RNA is filed under the name compost metagenome. Its description in RNAcentral is "tRNA-Trp". It matches the Rfam family "tRNA". Rfam says of the family: Transfer RNA (tRNA) molecules are approximately 80 nucleotides in length. Their secondary structure includes four short double-helical elements and three loops (D, anti-codon, and T loops). The record is from RNAcentral.
UAGGGGUAUAGUUUAAUGGUAGAACUGUGGUCUCCAAAACCACCAGUACGGGUUCAAGUCCUGUUGCCCCUGU